GCCAGGCCCUAGUGGAGAGCGGGGUCUGGCAGGCCCCCCAGGGAGAGAAGGAAUCCCAGGACCCCUGGGGCCACCUGGACCACCGGGGUCAGUGGGACCACCUGGGGCCUCUGGACUCAAAGGAGACAAGGGAGACCCUGGAGUAGGGCUGCCUGGGCCCCGAGGCGAGCGUGGGGAGCCAGGCAUCCGGGUACGUAUGUCUUACUCCACAGCCGAACUCCCUUCAUCCCAGCUCUUGCCUCUGAUUUCCAACCUCUGAGUCAAUGAACCUAAUGUCACCAUCCAGGGUGAAGAUGGCCGCCCCGGCCAGGAGGGACCCCGAGGACUCACGGGGCCCCCUGGCAGCAGGGGAGAGCGUGGGGAGAAGGGUGAUGUUGGGAGUGCAGGACUAAAGGGUGACAAGGGAGACUCAGCUGUGAUCCUGGGGCCUCCAGGCCCACGGGGUGCCAAGGGGGACAUGGGUGAACGAGGGCCUCGGGGCUUGGAUGGUGACAAAGGACCUCGGGGAGACAAUGGGGACCCUGGUGACAAGGGCAGCAAGGGAGAGCCUGGUGACAAGGGCUCAGCCGGGUUGCCAGGACUGCGUGGACUCCUGGGACCCCAGGGUCAACCUGGUGCAGCAGGGAUCCCUGGUGACCCGGGCGAUUCUCUUUGGUCCCUCACUGACCUCCUCUGACCUCACAUGGACCCUCUCCCUGCUAGGGAUCCC
RNAcentral lists this long non-coding RNA (709 nucleotides) under Homo sapiens (human). Its description in RNAcentral is "non-protein coding lnc-UCN2-2:1". The record is from RNAcentral. Lineage: Eukaryota; Metazoa; Chordata; Mammalia; Primates; Hominidae.